Molecule: non-coding RNA, 110 nt
Organism: Acanthosepion pharaonis
Lineage: Eukaryota; Metazoa; Mollusca; Cephalopoda; Sepiida; Sepiidae
Source: the annotation of a GenBank genome assembly
GGCUACAUUACAUUGAACCACCAGUUUCCGUAUGAUCCCAGAAGUUAAGCAUCGUCUAGCCUGGUCAGUACCUAGAUGGGUGACUGCUUGGGAAUAAUAGGAGCUGUAAG